UAAGGUAACGGCUUACCAAGGCAACGAUGCGUACCGACCUGAGAGGGUGAUCGGCCACACUGGAACUGAGACACGGUCCAGACUCCUACGGGAGGCAGCAGUAGGGAAUCUUCCGCAAUGGGCGAAAGCCUGACGGAGCAACGCCGCGUGAGUGAUGAAGGUCUUCGGAUCGUAAAACUCUGUUAUUAGGGAAGAACAAAUGUGUAAGUAACUAUGCACGUCUUGACGGUACCUAAUCAGAAAGCCACGGCUAACUACGUGCCAGCAGCCGCGGUAAUACGUAGGUGGCAAGCGUUAUCCGGAAUUAUUGGGCGUAAAGCGCGCGUAGGCGGUUUUUUAAGUCUGAUGUGAAAGCCCACGGCUCAACCGUGGAGGGUCAUUGGAAACUGGAAAACUUGAGUGCAGAAGAGGAAAGUGGAAUUCCAUGUGUAGCGGUGAAAUGCGCAGAGAUAUGGAGGAACACCAGUGGCGAAGGCGACUUUCUGGUCUGUAACUGACGCUGAUGUGCGAAAGCGCGGGGAUCAAACAGGAUUAGAUACCCUGGUAGUCCACGCCGUAAACGAUGAGUGCUAAGUGUUAGGGGGUUUCCGCCCCUUAGUGCUGCAGCUAACGCAUUAAGCACUCCGCCUGGGGAGUACGACCGCAAGGUUGAAACUCAAAGGAAUUGACGGGGACCCGCACAAGCGGUGGAGCAUGUGGUUUAAUUCAAAGCAACGCGAAGAACCUUACCAAAUCUUGACAUCCUCUGACCCCUCUAGAGAUAGAGGUUUCCCCUUCGGGGGACAGAGUGACAGGUGGUGCAUGGUUGUCGUCAGCUCGUGUCGUGAGAUGUUGGGUUAAGUCCCGCAACGAGCGCAACCCUUAAGCUUAGUUGCCAUCAUUAAGUUGGGCACUCUAAGUUGACUGCCGGUGACAAACCGGAGGAAGGUGGGGAUGACGUCAAAUCAUCAUGCCCCUUAUGAUUUGGGCUACACACGUGCUACAAUGGACAAUACAAAGGGCAGCGAAACCGCGAGGUCAAGCAAAUCCCAUAAAGUUGUUCUCAGUUCGGAUUGUAGUCUGCAACUCGACUAUAUGAAGCUGGAAUCGCUAGUAAUCGUAGAUCAGCAUGCUACGGUGAAUACGUUCCCGGG
RNAcentral lists this ribosomal RNA (1133 nucleotides) under uncultured bacterium. RNAcentral describes it as "bacterial SSU rRNA". It matches the Rfam family "Bacterial small subunit ribosomal RNA", at positions 253 to 1378 of the family's 1533-position model. The record is from RNAcentral.